Molecule: non-coding RNA, 99 nt
Organism: Desulfotomaculum sp. 46_296
Lineage: Bacteria; Bacillati; Bacillota; Clostridia; Eubacteriales; Desulfotomaculaceae
Source: Rfam
GGGGUGGUAUUCCGGUUGGAAACCAUACCUGUUUGAAGCGGCCCGUAAAAUAAAAGACAACCAAAUCCGCUUGGAGCCUGGAUGGACCGAGACGGGGUG